This 253-nucleotide ribosomal RNA is filed under the name uncultured bacterium. Its description in RNAcentral is "partial 16S ribosomal RNA". It matches the Rfam family "Bacterial small subunit ribosomal RNA", at positions 524 to 776 of the family's 1533-position model. The record is from RNAcentral.
UACAGAGGUGGCAAGCGUUGUUCGGAAUUACUGGGCGUAAAGCGCACGCAGGCGGUCCUCUGCGUAGAGGGUGACAGUGCUCGGCUUAACUGAGCAAGCGCUCUUUAAACGAGGGGACUUGAGGGCCAGAGAGGGAGACGGAACUCCGGGUGGAGCGGUGAAAUGCGUAGAGAUCCGGAAGAACACCGAAGGCGAAGGCAGUCUCCUGGCUGGUUCCUGACGCUCAGGUGCGAAAGCGAGGGGAGCAAACAGG